Molecule: ribosomal RNA, 472 nt
Filed under: uncultured bacterium
Lineage: Bacteria
Description: bacterial SSU rRNA
Rfam family: Bacterial small subunit ribosomal RNA
Source: RNAcentral
GAGUUUGAUCCUGGCUCAGAACGAACGCUGGCGGCAGGCCUAACACAUGCAAGUCGAACGCUCGUAGCAAUACGAGAGUGGCAGACGGGUGAGUAACACGUGGGAACCUUCCCUAUGGUUCGGAAUAGCUCAGGGAAACUUGAGGUAAUACCGGAUAAGCCCUUACGGGGAAAGAUUUAUCGCCAUUGGAUGGGCCCGCGUCGGAUUAGCUAGUUGGUGAGGUAACGGCUCACCAAGGCGACGAUCCGUAGCUGGUCUGAGAGGAUGAUCAGCCACACUGAGACUGAGACACGGCCCAGACUCCUACGGGAGGCAGCAGUGGGGAAUAUUGGACAAUGGGCGCAAGCCUGAUCCAGCCAUGCCGCGUGAGUGACGAAGGCCUUAGGGUUGUAAAGCUCUUUUGGCGGGGAAGAUAAUGACGGUACCCGCAGAAUAAGCUCCGGCUAACUUCGUGCCAGCAGCCGCGGUACGC